GAGGGGGAGAGAGAAUCGAAGGGAGACGUGAGAAAUUCGCCGGAGGCAUCGCAAGCCACACAAUAAACUAGACGAAGGAGAAAAGAAGAAGAAGAAUCUCCGUCUUUAAUGGCUGCCGCCUCAGCUAGGGUUUUACUCGCAUCUCGUCUAGCAGACCUAUCACUUAAGCCUCAUCAACAUCCUCCUCACCUACCCUCUCCUUUUACCCACCACCUCCUCAUCCGUCCCUUACUUCCUUCUCUUUCCGCUUCCACCAGGAGGCGUCCGUCCGUUAACUGCCUUAUUUCCGGCGUAGACGGCGGCGGUGUUUCGGACGACUUUGUUUCCACCAGGAAAUCCGGUUUCGGCAGUGAAUUCUCUGUUAUUGCCAAUAUGCUCAAGCGAAUUGAACCGUUGGACACUUCUGUUAUAUCUAAAGGCGUUUCUGAUUCAGCUAAGGACUCAAUGAAGCAGACCAUUUCUACUAUGUUAGGCUUGCUCCCUUCAGAUCAAUUCUCAGUCACUGUUCGGUUUUCCAAACACGCUCUCGAUCGCCUCAUUGUUUCUUCUAUCAUUACCGGGUAUACGUUGUGGAAUGCGGAGUACAGGAUAUCCUUGAUGAGGAACUUUGAUAUCCCAUCAGAUAAUUUGAAAGGCUUCAAAUCAACGGAAGAGGAUGUGAACUCAGGCUCAAAGAGCGAGGGGAUAGAGGGGGGAGAACGCGGAGUUGGUGUAAAUAUGUCUUCUGCGGUUUCAGAGAGAAUGGAUAUUCAAGCUCUUGGGAAUUUAUCUCCGGAAGCUCUGAAAUAUGUUCAACAAUUAGAAGAAGAACUCUCAUCAGUUAAGCAGGAACUGCAUUCCCAGCAACAGGAAAAUUUGCAAAUGGAGUAUAUCAACGAAAGUAACAAUGAUUUGCUGGAAUACCUCCGGUCAUUGGAAUCUGACAUGGUGACUGAACUAUCUAGACCAUCAUCCUUUGAGGUGGAGGAAAUUAUUAAGGAACUUACUCAAAACAUAUUGCAAAUAUUUUUCAAAGAGGACGAUGUUAACAAAGAAGAAGAUCCUAAUUUUAGUGGUGCCAAAGACUAUCAGAAUAGUGAUUCCGAAUUAUGCGAUGCAAUAGCCACUUCUCGGGAUUACUUGGCAAAACUACUUUUCUGGUGUAUGUUAUUGGGCCAUCAUUUGAGAGGAUUGGAGAACAGAUUGCAUCUAAGUUGUGUCGUCGGCUUGUUAUGAGUUUGCGAAGUACAAAGAGGGAUGUACAUUCUGCUUCUCUUUUACUUCCUUCUCUUAUUCUCUUUCUAGCUCAAUUAUUUCCUGUUAUUUAUAUAAAAAUAAUCCACAUAUCCUGUAAAAUUUUGUUCUUGCUAGUCACGAGUAAUUGUAUGGUGGGAGGGUGUACUGUUGAAAAUGAU
RNAcentral lists this unclassified non-coding RNA (1394 nucleotides) under Hevea brasiliensis (rubber tree). The record is from RNAcentral. Lineage: Eukaryota; Viridiplantae; Streptophyta; Magnoliopsida; Malpighiales; Euphorbiaceae.